UACCAGCUCUCCGAGUUGUAGGGACGAUUAUUGGGCUUAAAGCGUCCGUAGCCGGCUUAGCAAGUCUCCUGUUAAAUUCAGCGACCCAAUCGUUGAGCCGCGGGAGAUACUACUAGGCUAGGAGGCGGGAGAGGUCGACGGUACUUUCAGGGUAGGGGUGAAAUCCUAUAAUCCCGGGAGGACCACCAGUGGCGAAGGCUGUCGACUAGAACGCGCUCGACGGUGAGGGACGAAAGCUGGGGGAGCGAACCGGAUUAGAUACCCGGGUAGUCCCAGCUGUAAACGAUGCGGGCUAGGUGUUGGGGUGGCUACGGGCCACUUCAGUGCCGCAGGAAAGCCAUUAAGCCCGCCGCCUGGGGAGUACGGCCGCAAGGCUGAAACUUAAAGGAAUUGGCGGGGGAGCACCACAAGGCGUGAAGCUUGCGGUUC
RNAcentral lists this ribosomal RNA (429 nucleotides) under uncultured archaeon. RNAcentral's name for it is "bacterial SSU rRNA". It matches the Rfam family "Archaeal small subunit ribosomal RNA", at positions 474 to 903 of the family's 1478-position model. The record is from RNAcentral.